UACUCCUACGGGAGGCAGCAGUCGAGAAUCUUCCGCAAUGGACGCAAGUCUGACGGAGCGAUACAGCGUGAUGGACGAAGUGGUUCGCCACGUAAACAUCUUUUAUGUGGGAUGAAGUAAUUGACAGUACCACAGGAAUAAGGGGCUCCUAACUCUGUGCCAGCAGCCGCGGUAAU
RNAcentral lists this ribosomal RNA (176 nucleotides) under uncultured soil bacterium. Its description in RNAcentral is "partial 16S ribosomal RNA". It matches the Rfam family "Bacterial small subunit ribosomal RNA", at positions 334 to 524 of the family's 1533-position model. The record is from RNAcentral.